This 77-nucleotide transfer RNA is filed under the name Hadesarchaea archaeon. Its description in RNAcentral is "tRNA-Gly". It matches the Rfam family "tRNA". Rfam says of the family: Transfer RNA (tRNA) molecules are approximately 80 nucleotides in length. Their secondary structure includes four short double-helical elements and three loops (D, anti-codon, and T loops). The record is from RNAcentral. Lineage: Archaea; Methanobacteriati; Hadarchaeota (SeqCode); Hadarchaeia (SeqCode). RNAcentral also lists the same sequence under 4 other names.
GCGGCAGUAGUCUAGCUUGGUUAGGACACGAGCUUGCCAAGCUCGCGGCGCGGGUUCGAAUCCCGCCUGCCGCACCA